AGCAGUCGCCGCGGGAAUACGUAGGUCCCGAGCGUUGUCCGGAUUUAUUGGGCGUAAAGCGAGCGCAGGCGGUUAGAUAAGUCUGAAGUUAAAGGCUGUGGCUUAACCAUAGUACGCUUUGGAAACUGUUUAACUUGAGUGCAAGAGGGGAGAGUGGAAUUCCAUGUGUAGCGGUGAAAUGCGUAGAUAUAUGGAGGAACACCGGUGGCGAAAGCGGCUCUCUGGCUUGUAACUGACGCUGAGGCUCGAAAGCGUGGGGAGCAAACAGGAUUAGAUACCCGGGUAGUCCCUGUCUCUUAUACC
Molecule: ribosomal RNA, 303 nt
Filed under: uncultured bacterium
Lineage: Bacteria
Description: partial 16S ribosomal RNA
Rfam family: Bacterial small subunit ribosomal RNA
Source: RNAcentral